AGUGAACGCUGGCGGUAGGCCUAACACAUGCAAGUCGAACGGCAGCACAGUAAGAGCUUGCUCUUACGGGUGGCGAGUGGCGGACGGGUGAGGAAUACAUCGGAAUCUACUUUUUCGUGGGGGAUAACGUAGGGAAACUUACGCUAAUACCGCAUACGACCUACGGGUGAAAGCAGGGGAUCUUCGGACCUUGCGCGAUUGAAUGAGCCGAUGUCGGAUUAGCUAGUUGGCGGGGUAAAGGCCCACCAAGGCGACGAUCCGUAGCUGGUCUGAGAGGAUGAUCAGCCACGCUGGAACUGAGACACGGUCCAGACUCCUACGGGAGGCAGCAGUGGGGAAUAUUGGACAAUGGGCGCAAGCCUGAUCCAGCCAUACCGCGUGGGUGAAGAAGGCCUUCGGGUUGUAAAGCCCUUUUGUUGGGAAAGAAAAGCAGCAGGUUAAUACCCCGCUGUUCUGGCGGUACCCAAAGAAUAAGCACCGGCUAACUUCGUG
This 492-nucleotide ribosomal RNA is filed under the name uncultured bacterium. RNAcentral describes it as "partial 16S ribosomal RNA". It matches the Rfam family "Bacterial small subunit ribosomal RNA", at positions 29 to 507 of the family's 1533-position model. The record is from RNAcentral.